CGGACGGGUGAGUAACGCGUGAGAACCUGCCCCUGGGAGAGGGAUACCAACUGGAAACGGUUGUUAAUACCUCAUAGGCUGAGGAGUAAAAUGGUUAACACCGCCUAGGGAUGGGCUUGCGUCUGAUUAGCUAGUUGGUGGGGCAAAGGCCUACCAAGGCAAUGAUCAGUAGCUGGUCUGAGAGGACAAUCAGCCACACUGGGACUGAGACACGGCCCAGACUUCUACGGGAGGCAGCAGUGAGGAAUUUUCCGCAAUGGGCGAAAGCCUGACGGAGCAAUGCCGCGUGGAGGAUGAAGGCCCGUGGGUUGUAAACUCCUUUUCUUAGAGAAGAAGUUCUGACGGUAUCUAAGGAAUAAGCAUCGGCUAACUCCGUGCCAGCAGCCGCGGUAAUACGGAGGAUGCAAGCGUUAUCCGGAAUCAUUGGGCGUAAAGGGUCC
This 440-nucleotide ribosomal RNA is filed under the name uncultured Coccomyxa. RNAcentral's name for it is "bacterial SSU rRNA". It matches the Rfam family "Bacterial small subunit ribosomal RNA", at positions 99 to 570 of the family's 1533-position model. Lineage: Eukaryota; Viridiplantae; Chlorophyta; Trebouxiophyceae. The record is from RNAcentral.